AGGCAGCAGUGGGGAAUAUUGCACAAUGGGCGCAAGCCUGAUGCAGCCAUGCCGCGUGUAUGAAGAAGGCCUUCGGGUUGUAAAGUACUUUCAGCAGUGAGGAAGGCAGGUACGUUAAUAGCGUGCUUGUUUGACGUUAGCUGCAGAAGAAGCACCGGCUAACUCCGUGCCAGCAGCCGCGGUAAUACGGAGGGUGCGAGCGUUAAUCGGAAUUACUGGGCGUAAAGCGCAUGCAGGUGGUUUGUUAAGUCAGAUGUGAAAGCCCCGGGGCUCAACCUCGGAAUUGCAUUUGAAACUGGCAGACUAGAGUACUGUAGAGGGGGUAGAAUUUCAGGUGUAGCGGUGAAAAUGCGUAGAGAUCUGAAGGAAUACCGGUGGCGAAGGCGGCCCCCUGGACAGAUACUGACACUCAGAUGCGAAAGCGUGGGGAGCAAACAGGAUUAGAUACCCUGGUAG
This 456-nucleotide ribosomal RNA is filed under the name uncultured bacterium. RNAcentral's name for it is "bacterial SSU rRNA". It matches the Rfam family "Bacterial small subunit ribosomal RNA", at positions 346 to 793 of the family's 1533-position model. The record is from RNAcentral.